ACUCCUACGGGAGGCAGCAGUGGGGAAUAUUGCACAAUGGGGGAAACCCUGAUGCAGCAACGCCGCGUGGAGGAUGACACAUUUCGGUGCGUAAACUCCUUUUAUAUGGGAAGAUAAUGACGGUACCAUAUGAAUAAGCACCGGCUAACUCCGUGCCAGCAGCCGCGGUAAUACGGAGGGUGCAAGCGUUACUCGGAAUCACUGGGCGUAAAGCGCGCGCAGGCGGCUAUUUAAGUUGGAUGUGAAAGCCUACGGCUCAACCGUAGAACUGCAUCCAAAACUAUUUAGCUAGAGUGUGGGAGAGGAAGAUGGAAUUAGUUGUGUAGGGGUAAAAUCCGUAGAGAUAACUAGGAAUACCAAAAGCGAAGGCAAUCUUCUGGAACACUACUGACGCUGAGGCGCGAAAGCGUGGGGAGCAAACAGGAUUAGAUACCCUGGUAGUCCACGCAGUAAACGAUGAAUGUUAGUCGUCGGGGGCCUAGUGUCUUCGGUGAUGCAGCUAACGCAUUAAACAUUCCGCCUGGGGAGUACGGUCGCAAGAUUAAAACUCAAAGGAAUAGACGGGGACCCGCACAAGUGGUGGAGCAUGUGGUUUAAUUCGAAGAUACGCGAAGAACCUUACCUAGCCUUGACAUAUAUUAGAAUCUUUCAGAGAUGAGAGAGUGCCUUCGGGAGCUUUUAUACAGGUGCUGCACGGCUGUCGUCAGCUCGUGUCGUGAGAUGUUGGGUUAAGUCCCGCAACGAGCGCAACCCUCGUCACUAGUUACUAACGGUUCGGCCGAGGACUCUAGUGAGACUGCCUUCGCAAGGAGGAGGAAGGUGAGGACGACGUCAAGUCAUCAUGGCCCUUACGGCUAGGGCAACACACGUGCUACAAUGGCCAGGACAGUGAGACGCGAUACCGCGAGGUGGAGCAAAUCUAUAAA
RNAcentral lists this ribosomal RNA (926 nucleotides) under uncultured Campylobacterota bacterium. RNAcentral describes it as "bacterial SSU rRNA". It matches the Rfam family "Bacterial small subunit ribosomal RNA", at positions 335 to 1279 of the family's 1533-position model. The record is from RNAcentral. Lineage: Bacteria; Pseudomonadati; Campylobacterota.